GGGGCCAUAGCUCAGCCGGGAGAGCGCCUGCUUUGCACGCAGGAGGUCAGGAGUUCGAUCCUCCUUGGCUCCACCA
Molecule: transfer RNA, 76 nt
Filed under: Pseudomonas aeruginosa
Lineage: Bacteria; Pseudomonadati; Pseudomonadota; Gammaproteobacteria; Pseudomonadales; Pseudomonadaceae
Description: tRNA-Ala
Rfam family: tRNA
About the family: Transfer RNA (tRNA) molecules are approximately 80 nucleotides in length.
Source: RNAcentral